CGGGACACGUGGUAUCCUGUCUGAAUAUGGGGGGACCAUCCUCCAAGGCUAAAUACUCCUGACUGACCGAUAGUGAACCAGUACCGUGAGGGAAAGGCGAAAAGAACCCCGGCGAGGGGAGUGAAAAAGAACCUGAAACCGUGUACGUACAAGCAGUGGGAGCACGCUUAGGCGUGUGACUGCGUACCUUUUGUAUAAUGGGUCAGCGACUUAUAUUCUGUAGCAAGGUUAACCGAAUAGGGGAGCCGAAGGGAAACCGAGUCUUAACUGGGCGUUAAGUUGCAGGGUAUAGACCCGAAACCCGGUGAUCUAGCCAUGGGCAGGUUGAAGGUUGGGUAACACUAACUGGAGGACCGAACCGACUAAUGUUGAAAAAUUAGCGGAUGACUUGUGGCUGGGGGUGAAAGGCCAAUCAAACCGGGAGAUAGCUGGUUCUCCCCGAAAGCUAUUUAGGUAGCGCCUCGUGAAUUCAUCUCCGGGGGUAGAGCACUGUUUCGGCAAGGGGGUCAUCCCGACUUACCAACCCGAUGCAAACUGCGAAUACCGGAGAAUGUUAUCACGGGAGACACACGGCGGGUGCUAACGUCCGUCGUGAAGAGGGAAACAACCCAGACCGCCAGCUAAGGUCCCAAAGUCAUGGUUAAGUGGGAAACGAUGUGGGAAGGCCCAGACAGCCAGGAUGUUGGCUUAGAAGCAGCCAUCAUUUAAAGAAAGCGUAAUAGCUCACUGGUCGAGUCGGCCUGCGCGGAAGAUGUAACGGGGCUAAACCAUGCACCGAAGCUGCGGCAGCGACGCUGAU
This 799-nucleotide ribosomal RNA is filed under the name Escherichia coli. RNAcentral describes it as "partial 23S ribosomal RNA". It matches the Rfam family "Bacterial large subunit ribosomal RNA", at positions 418 to 1218 of the family's 2925-position model. The record is from RNAcentral. Lineage: Bacteria; Pseudomonadati; Pseudomonadota; Gammaproteobacteria; Enterobacterales; Enterobacteriaceae.